RNAcentral lists this ribosomal RNA (252 nucleotides) under uncultured bacterium. RNAcentral describes it as "partial 16S ribosomal RNA". It matches the Rfam family "Bacterial small subunit ribosomal RNA", at positions 524 to 776 of the family's 1533-position model. The record is from RNAcentral.
UACGUAGGGUGCGAGCGUUAUCCGGAUUCACUGGGUUUAAAGGGUGCGUAGGCGGGCAGGUAAGUCAGUGGUGAAAUCUCCGAGCUUAACUCGGAACUGCCGUUGAUACUAUUUGUCUUGAAUAUUGUGGAGGUAAGCGGAAUAUGUCAUGUAGCGGUGAAAUGCUUAGAUAUGACAUAGAACACCAAUUGCGAAGGCAGCUUACUACACAAUGAUUGACGCUGAGGCACGAAAGCGUGGGGAUCAAACAGG